Molecule: RNA transcript, 8121 nt
Organism: Leguminivora glycinivorella
Lineage: Eukaryota; Metazoa; Arthropoda; Insecta; Lepidoptera; Tortricidae
Gene: gek
Gene name: serine/threonine-protein kinase Genghis Khan
Exons: 28
Source: RefSeq, a predicted model, not a curated record
AGCUAAAGUGUUUUCACAAAGUGACAACAAUGAGUCAUCUCAGUGUUUUUGCAUAACAAUCGAUAGAAUGGAUUUAGGUUAAGAUCUCUGUGCUAUAGGAUUCGGAACAAUACAAAAUUAAAACUGGAAAUAUAGCAUUACAACGGGCUGUUAUUUUCGUCUCACGCAAGUACAUGCAACCAUGGAUCAAAGCAACACACACAAUAAACUGCCUUAAGUUUACGGUAGCUUUUCUACAUAUUAGUGUUAGUGUACGGACAUGCUAGUGUAGUGCAAGUGCAGAAUGUCGGACGACGAGGACUCUUCACCGGACUGGGCGCUGGUGCCCUCUAACAAUGUGCCAAUCCUGGGCAUCAAGCGUCUCAAGCAGAUCGAGACGUUGUUCCUCGCGCGGCGCCUCCAAGGGCACGCCGGGCUCAGCGUGGAGACGCUCCUCGACGUGUUGUUGGUGUUGUACGACGAGUGCUGUGGCAGCAGUUUGAGGAGGGAGAAGGCUGUUGCUGACUUCAUACAACACGUGAAGCCAGUGGCGACAGCCCUCAAACGGCUGCGGUUGUCGCGCGAUGACUUCGAGCUGGUUAAAGUGAUCGGCCGAGGCGCCUUCGGAGAGGUGUGCGUCGUCAGGGCGUCUUUUAUGCAGGGCACAGAUGCAGGCGCGAACACGGUGCCCGGUGGUACCGUUUCGACUACGACGGGCGAACGGGUGUACGCCAUGAAGAUACUCAACAAAUGGGAGAUGCUCAAGCGCGCGGAGACAGCAUGUUUUCAAGAGGAGCGAGAUGUGUUAGUGUAUGGAGACCGGCGGUGGAUCACCAACCUUCAUUACGCCUUUCAGGACGAACACAAUUUGUACCUGGUGAUGGACUACUACUGCGGAGGCGAUCUCCUGACCCUUCUAUCGAAGUUUGAGGACCGUCUACCCGAAGAUAUGGCCCGUUUCUACAUCGCUGAGAUGGUCCUCGCUGUACAGAGCGUCCAUGAACUACGAUAUGUGCACAGAGACAUCAAGCCAGAUAAUGUUUUGCUGGAUGCGAGCGGACACAUCAGACUCGCUGAUUUCGGCUCGUGCCUUCGACUGGGAGACGACGGGAAGGUACAAAGCAACGUUGCUGUUGGAACGCCUGAUUACAUAUCACCCGAGAUUCUUAGGGCGAUGGAAGACGGACAAGGAAGAUACGGCCCUGAAUGCGAUUGGUGGUCUUUAGGCGUGUGCAUGUACGAGAUGCUAUUCGGAGAGACGCCAUUCUACGCAGAGUCUCUUGUGGAAACAUACGGCAAGAUUAUGAACCACGCUCGUUCUUUCAGCUGUCCGCCGCCUCUAGAACAUGCUAAACAGGUGUCAGACGAGGCUACGGACUUGAUUAGGAAACUAAUAUGCGCUGCUGACCAAAGGCUGGGAAAGAAUGGCUUGCAAGAUUUCAAGAGCCACGGUUGGUUCGCUGGCUUAGAGUGGGAGGCGCUUCGAGAAGUGCAAGCACCCUUCGUUCCGGAUGUAGCAAGUCCCACUGACACUUCUAACUUCGAUGUUGAUGACACCGAUAUCAGAUUGUCAGAAGCAGUGCCACCGCCGUCAGCGUCAUCAGCGUUCUCGGGGCUACACCUGCCGUUCGUGGGGUUCACGUUCACGGCCGGCAGCCGCCUGUCCGACCUGGGCGCUCCGGCUACACCGCUCAGCCCCGCCAAGAAUGCUCCCAGCCAGGCUCCAUCAAACGCUGGCGACAGAGCAGCCCUAAAAGCCCUGGAGCGAGAAAACGCGCUUCUAGCACAAACCAUCGCCGAGUUAAGAUCUGGAGGCCAACCUUUGGACGCUGGGAGUGAAGAAUCGAUCACGUUGAAAGAGGAGCUCGCUGCACUAUCGAAAAGGAACGCAGAGUUAGAAGCGCAAGUACGGUGUUACGAGCAGCUCAGCGGUGGAGUAGCUCAGGAUCCAUCGGCGCCUCAAGAUCUAGUAACGAGAGUUCGAGAGCUGGAGGUGAUGGUCACAACCCUCAAUCUUGAGAAGGAGGAACUCGUCAAGGACAAAGUAGAUUCUUCUGAAAAGCUCAGGUUGCAGGACAAAGAACUGAAGGACGCCGUGGCGCAGCGGAAACUAGCUAUGACGGAGUACAACGAAGUGACGGACCGGCUGUCGGAGUUGCGGCAACAGAAACAAAAGUUAUCGAGACAGGUUCGCGAUAAAGAAGAGGAGCUAGAAGUGGCUAUGCAGAAGAUAGAUGCACUAAGACAGGAUAUUCGUCGCUCGGAUAAAGGUCGGCGAGAAUUAGAAGCGAGGCUCGACACUGCUAUUUCAGAGGCUACUAAAGAGCGCAAGCUGCGGGAAGAGACGCUCCGCUCCGUCCGAGCGGAGGCGGGCGCGGGAGCGGUGGCGGUGGCGGGCGGCGCGGCGGCCGACGUGGCGCGCCUGCAGGCCGAGGUGGACGCGCUCGAGUUGCAGUACAAAGAAUCGCUCGCGCAACAACAACAGCGGUACAACGCAGACCUCGCGUCGCUCAGAGAACAACUACACGAAGGAGAUGCGGUCAGGAGCGUGCUCAAUAGAGAGUUACAGACAUCGAAAGAUAAGCUGGAGAGCCGGCGGUUAGAACAGAUGAACGACAGUGAAGACAGACAGAUGCUUAUCAACGAGAACAGGAAACUCGCCAAGGACCUAGAUGCGAUGGCCGAAAACGGUCGCCGGUGGCAGGCGGAGCGAAGGCAGUUAGAAAUGGAGUUAGAGGAGCUCAGAGCUAAACGAGACACCAUGCAACACUGGGAAACUCAGAUAGCGGACAUCAUCCGAUGGGUGGCGGACGAGAAGGAGGCUCGAGGAUACUUGCAAGCGCUGGCUACUAAGAUGACCGAGGAACUGGAGUACCUCAAGAUUGCUUCGGCCACUCGCGGCACUAUCGCCGCCCCCGCGUCUCCACCGGCCGCCCCGGGCGCGCCCGGCGGCUGGCGGAACCGGCGCUCGCAGAAACUGGACAAGAUGGAGAUCCUCACGCUGCAGUCCAGCCUGCACUCCGAGAUACAGGCCAAGCAGCAAGUCGGCGAGGAGCUCAGCAGGACCCGGGCCGAGCUGCUGCACAGCCAGAGGUCAGUUAUACAACCGGCGCUCGCAGAAACUGGACAAGAUGGAGAUCCUCACGCUGCAGUCCAGCCUGCACUCCGAGAUACAGGCCAAGCAGCAAGUCGGCGAGGAGCUCAGCAGGACCCGGGCCGAGCUGCUGCACAGCCAGAGGUCAGUUAUACAACCGGCGCUCGCAGAAACUGGACAAGAUGGAGAUCCUCACGCUGCAGUCCAGCCUGCACUCCGAGAUACAGGCCAAGCAGCAAGUCGGCGAGGAGCUCAGCAGGACCCGGGCCGAGCUGCUGCACAGCCAGAGGUCAGUUAUACAACCGGCGCUCGCAGAAACUGGACAAGAUGGAGAUCCUCACGCUGCAGUCCAGCCUGCACUCCGAGAUACAGGCCAAGCAGCAAGUCGGCGAGGAGCUCAGCAGGACCCGGGCCGAGCUGCUGCACAGCCAGAGGUCAGUUAUACAACCGGCGCUCGCAGAAACUGGACAAGAUGGAGAUCCUCACGCUGCAGUCCAGCCUGCACUCCGAGAUACAGGCCAAGCAGCAAGUCGGCGAGGAGCUCAGCAGGACCCGGGCCGAGCUGCUGCACAGCCAGAGGUCAGUUAUACAACCGGCGCUCGCAGAAACUGGACAAGAUGGAGAUCCUCACGCUGCAGUCCAGCCUGCACUCCGAGAUACAGGCCAAGCAGCAAGUCGGCGAGGAGCUCAGCAGGACCCGGGCCGAGCUGCUGCACAGCCAGAGGUCAGUUAUACAACCGGCGCUCGCAGAAACUGGACAAGAUGGAGAUCCUCACGCUGCAGUCCAGCCUGCACUCCGAGAUACAGGCCAAGCAGCAAGUCGGCGAGGAGCUCAGCAGGACCCGGGCCGAGCUGCUGCACAGCCAGAGGUCAGUUAUACAACCGGCGCUCGCAGAAACUGGACAAGAUGGAGAUCCUCACGCUGCAGUCCAGCCUGCACUCCGAGAUACAGGCCAAGCAGCAAGUCGGCGAGGAGCUCAGCAGGACCCGGGCCGAGCUGCUGCACAGCCAGAGGUCAGUUAUACAACCGGCGCUCGCAGAAACUGGACAAGAUGGAGAUCCUCACGCUGCAGUCCAGCCUGCACUCCGAGAUACAGGCCAAGCAGCAAGUCGGCGAGGAGCUCAGCAGGACCCGGGCCGAGCUGCUGCACAGCCAGAGGUCAGUUAUACAACCGGCGCUCGCAGAAACUGGACAAGAUGGAGAUCCUCACGCUGCAGUCCAGCCUGCACUCCGAGAUACAGGCCAAGCAGCAAGUCGGCGAGGAGCUCAGCAGGACCCGGGCCGAGCUGCUGCACAGCCAGAGGUCAGUUAUACAACCGGCGCUCGCAGAAACUGGACAAGAUGGAGAUCCUCACGCUGCAGUCCAGCCUGCACUCCGAGAUACAGGCCAAGCAGCAAGUCGGCGAGGAGCUCAGCAGGACCCGGGCCGAGCUGCUGCACAGCCAGAGGUCAGUUAUACAACCGGCGCUCGCAGAAACUGGACAAGAUGGAGAUCCUCACGCUGCAGUCCAGCCUGCACUCCGAGAUACAGGCCAAGCAGCAAGUCGGCGAGGAGCUCAGCAGGACCCGGGCCGAGCUGCUGCACAGCCAGAGGUCAGUUAUACAACCGGCGCUCGCAGAAACUGGACAAGAUGGAGAUCCUCACGCUGCAGUCCAGCCUGCACUCCGAGAUACAGGCCAAGCAGCAAGUCGGCGAGGAGCUCAGCAGGACCCGGGCCGAGCUGCUGCACAGCCAGAGGUCAGUUAUACAACCGGCGCUCGCAGAAACUGGACAAGAUGGAGAUCCUCACGCUGCAGUCCAGCCUGCACUCCGAGAUACAGGCCAAGCAGCAAGUCGGCGAGGAGCUCAGCAGGACCCGGGCCGAGCUGCUGCACAGCCAGAGGUCAGUUAUACAACCGGCGCUCGCAGAAACUGGACAAGAUGGAGAUCCUCACGCUGCAGUCCAGCCUGCACUCCGAGAUACAGGCCAAGCAGCAAGUCGGCGAGGAGCUCAGCAGGACCCGGGCCGAGCUGCUGCACAGCCAGAGGUCAGUUAUACAACCGGCGCUCGCAGAAACUGGACAAGAUGGAGAUCCUCACGCUGCAGUCCAGCCUGCACUCCGAGAUACAGGCCAAGCAGCAAGUCGGCGAGGAGCUCAGCAGGACCCGGGCCGAGCUGCUGCACAGCCAGAGGUCAGUUAUACAACCGGCGCUCGCAGAAACUGGACAAGAUGGAGAUCCUCACGCUGCAGUCCAGCCUGCACUCCGAGAUACAGGCCAAGCAGCAAGUCGGCGAGGAGCUCAGCAGGACCCGGGCCGAGCUGCUGCACAGCCAGAGGUCAGUUAUACAACCGGCGCUCGCAGAAACUGGACAAGAUGGAGAUCCUCACGCUGCAGUCCAGCCUGCACUCCGAGAUACAGGCCAAGCAGCAAGUCGGCGAGGAGCUCAGCAGGACCCGGGCCGAGCUGCUGCACAGCCAGAGGUCAGUUAUACAACCGGCGCUCGCAGAAACUGGACAAGAUGGAGAUCCUCACGCUGCAGUCCAGCCUGCACUCCGAGAUACAGGCCAAGCAGCAAGUCGGCGAGGAGCUCAGCAGGACCCGGGCCGAGCUGCUGCACAGCCAGAGGUCAGUUAUACAACCGGCGCUCGCAGAAACUGGACAAGAUGGAGAUCCUCACGCUGCAGUCCAGCCUGCACUCCGAGAUACAGGCCAAGCAGCAAGUCGGCGAGGAGCUCAGCAGGACCCGGGCCGAGCUGCUGCACAGCCAGAGGGAGCUUCUAGAAACCCGCCAGCGGCUAGACGCGCUCGCGCAUGACAUGAAGCGGAAAGAGCAACACAUUCGCGAGAUGCAGACGCGGCUCGACGCGCCGCACCAGCCCAACAAUUCCUUCCAACGUCGACAACGGCGAAAAAAACGAAAAUAAUCUAUGGUUCUAUAUUAUCUAUGGACUCUAUAAAUGUGAACUGUGAUUCGUAAUUCCAAAACGUUGUUAUUGUUAUUCGAUCGAAAUUUACACUUGUUUUUCGCGCAUUUUUUGUGUAACUUAUUGUAUUAUCUGUUGCAUUUACUUUUUAACCGGUGGUAUUCCAUUGUAUGGGUUUGAAUGGGUCCUGCGUUGUAUGUAUGACAGUUCGAACGUGGUUCAGGCCGUACAUACCCCUGUUUUUGGGGGUGACGUCAUGCUUAUGGGGGGUGGCGAUACUCGUGUAUCACCAGUUGUACGAUUGACGUAUAUAAAUAGUACAGUUGUAGCCUUAUUUUGAUUAGAAAACUUGAUAGGGGUUAAUAAAAAAACGUUGCUUUAUAGUUGUAUGUACCGAAAUGAGCGAAAUUAGAACAUUUGAUCAAUUGAUAAUUUUGAUGUCUUCUUAUCAGUGUAAAUGUGCUAAAAAGGAGGUUAUCGGUAUGAAUUCCCUAAAGAAGGCAUCUUCUGGGCGAGCUGACUCCAUCGUAGGCCUUGUCUUUGCCUUUGGCUAGUCUGUGGCCAAGAAUAAGCCCAUUUAUAAUAAUAAAAAAAAAGAGACCUGAGAGAUUCUUAUUAAAGAUUCAUAAAAGUUCUUUAAAGUCAUUAAUUGGUCAUCAAAUUGGCGAUGACUCCUUUUCUAAAUAAAAAAUUUAGAAUCGGAAAAUAUUUGGGUGUGAUAUGAAAAAAUAUAUUCAAGCCCUAUUUGUGGUUGGCAAUGUUACAAUGGCCAUAUGAUUGACAUUUAUGAUUUUUAUAAAAAGAAAAGUAUUUUAUUAAGUACCAGAAAAAAAUAAAACAUGUUAUAUUCUUAAAAUGAUGCUACAACUGUACAAAAAUGGCAUGCUUUUUAUUAUUUAACGCCACUUAAUAUCAAUUUAUGGACAUAUAUUUUAAAUUAUUUGGAUAUUAGUGCUCAAAAUUUAUAUUUUAUAGGAAUCUCGCUAAGGGAGUAAUUUCUAGUCUAUUUUUGUCUAGUCCCGUCCUAUGCCAAAGAAAUUAGCUCUCGAACACUCGAACUAGUCAUUUUUAACGUUAUUAACUAUUAUAAUGUGGGUUGAAGCAUUAUUUUAGGUUAUUUUUAUUAUUUAAGUAUUCUUUUUUACCACAAUUUCGUUUUUGUUUCGUUUUCUUUCUCCUUCUUUGCUAAGAGACACUGAAACUUGAACAGUUUCCUGUGCUCUGCCUACCCUUUUUGGGAAUGCAGACGUCAGUUUAUGUGUAUUCAUUUACGAAAGUGUUGUUUCAUGUUUUACAAAUCUAACCUCUGUGUUUUGUAAGUUGUUUUACCUAAACAAAAAUCUGAUUUAUUUAGUUUCUUUAGAAUCUUGAUCAAAUAAUACUUUUAGAUUGUUCAAAAUAAAGGAAUAUUUUACAGAAACCCUUUAAACUUCUUUUGGUUGAAGCCGUCUAAAAUAAUGCUUCUCUCCACAAUAAUUGACAUGACAACGCAGGAUUUAUUUAUUAUUUAGUUUAAGUUUAUCUAGAUUUUAGAAUCUCAUUUAUUUCCAUGUUUAAGGCUUCUCAAUCUACGGUGUUAAAUGCAUUUAAAAUGAAGGUGACUGGAUACAGGGUGUAGCAAAAAUAGUGUGGAUCCUAUUAAGGGUCGACUUAUUCGGUAUUGUACAGAUCGUUUAGCUGUCACGUAUGGAAUAAUCAAACUGUAUAAAUGAUACCUGUGUCGAUAUAGGCAUUGGUCCCGUCAAAAGUGCGAUGAGUUAUUUUCGAUAGAAACGAAUCAAAGAUAGUUGCUCCCGUCUAAACAAAAGAGACGCGAUAGCGCGAGUGAGUUAUUAGUUCAACGACGAGCGAUAAACUAUAAAUCGCUAUAAACUUUAGCGUGAAAAAUAUUUUUUCCGCUGUUUCCUAACAAGUAAUAUGAUACCGAGUAUGCCCUUAAAAAUAUCCCUAUUUUUAUGACACCCUGUUUAAGAAUAGUCUUGAACUUUGUUUAUUUAUUGUAUAAACUUUGCGUUUUGUUUCACCUUUUUUUGCAUUUAUGUUUUAAUUUUGCAUUACUUUUUCUUUUACGCUGUACUUUUUUUUCUUAUUACCGGUGUACAGUACUGUUCUUGUACAUAAUUAAAGUCCUGUUUUUAUA